AACGAACGCUGGCGGCAUGCCUAACACAUGCAAGUCGAACGAGACCUUCGGGUCUAGUGGCGCACGGGUGCGUAACGCGUGGGAACCUGCCCUUAGGUUCGGAAUAACUCCCCGAAAGGGGUGCUAAUACCGGAUAAUGUCUUCGGACCAAAGAUUUAUCGCCUUUGGAUGGGCCCGCGUUGGUUUAGCUAGUUGGUAGGGUAAAAGCCUACCAAGGCGACGAUCCAUAGCUGGUCUGAGAGGAUGAUCAGCCACACUGGGACUGAGACACGGCCCAGAAUACUACGGGAGGCAGCAGUGGGGAAUAUUGGAAAAUGGGCGAAAGCCUGAUCCAGCAAUGCCGCGUGAGUGAUGAAGGCCGUAGGGUUGUAAAGCUCUUUUACCCGGGAUGAUAAUGACAGUACCGGGAGAAUAAGCUCCGGCUAACUCCGUG
Molecule: ribosomal RNA, 433 nt
Filed under: uncultured bacterium
Lineage: Bacteria
Description: partial 16S ribosomal RNA
Rfam family: Bacterial small subunit ribosomal RNA
Source: RNAcentral